Molecule: ribosomal RNA, 759 nt
Filed under: uncultured bacterium
Lineage: Bacteria
Description: bacterial SSU rRNA
Rfam family: Bacterial small subunit ribosomal RNA
Source: RNAcentral
AUUGAACGCUGGCGGCAGGCCUAACACAUGCAAGUCGAGCGGAAACGAAGAGGUGCUUGCACCUCUGACGUCGAGCGGCGGACGGGUGAGUAAUGCUUGGGAAUAUGCCUUAUGGUGGGGGACAACAGUUGGAAACGACUGCUAAUACCGCAUGAUGUCUACGGACCAAAGUGGGGGACCUUCGGGCCUCACGCCAUAAGAUUAGCCCAAGUGGGAUUAGCUAGUUGGUGAGGUAAUGGCUCACCAAGGCGGCGAUCCCUAGCUGGUUUGAGAGGAUGAUCAGCCACACUGGGACUGAGACACGGCCCAGACUCCUACGGGAGGCAGCAGUGGGGAAUAUUGCACAAUGGGCGCAAGCCUGAUGCAGCCAUGCCGCGUGUGUGAAGAAGGCCUUCGGGUUGUAAAGCACUUUCAGUAAGGAGGAAAGGUUAAGUGUUAAUAGCGCUUAGCUGUGACGUUACUUACAGAAGAAGCACCGGCUAACUCCGUGCCAGCAGCCGCGGUAAUACGGAGGGUGCGAGCGUUAAUCGGAAUUACUGGGCGUAAAGCGUACGCAGGCGGUUUGUUAAGCGAGAUGUGAAAGCCCCGGGCUCAACCUGGGAACUGCAUUUCGAACUGGCAAACUAGAGUGUGAUAGAGGGCGGUAGAAUUUCAGGUGUAGCGGUGAAAUGCGUAGAGAUCUGAAGGAAUACCGAUGGCGAAGGCAGCCACCUGGGUCAACACUGACGCUCAUGUACGAAAGCGUGGGGAGCAAACAGG